UGCGACAUGGCGCAAUGGUAGCGCGGCGAGGUCAUGCCCCGCAGCUUCUGUGUUCAAUCCACAGUGCCGCAA
Molecule: transfer RNA, 72 nt
Filed under: Cupriavidus pinatubonensis JMP134
Lineage: Bacteria; Pseudomonadati; Pseudomonadota; Betaproteobacteria; Burkholderiales; Burkholderiaceae
Description: tRNA-Met-CAT-3-1
Rfam family: tRNA
About the family: Transfer RNA (tRNA) molecules are approximately 80 nucleotides in length. Their secondary structure includes four short double-helical elements and three loops (D, anti-codon, and T loops). Further hydrogen bonds mediate the characteristic L-shaped molecular structure. tRNAs have two regions of fundamental functional importance: the anti-codon, which is responsible for specific mRNA codon recognition, and the 3' end, to which the tRNAs corresponding amino acid is attached (by aminoacyl-tRNA synthetases). tRNAs cope with the degeneracy of the genetic code in two manners: having more than one tRNA (with a specific anti-codon) for a particular amino acid; and 'wobble' base-pairing, i.e. permitting non-standard base-pairing at the 3rd anti-codon position.
Source: RNAcentral